GAUGAACGCUGGCGGCGUGCUUAACACAUGCAAGUCGAACGAUGAAGCCCAGCUUGCUGGGUGGAUUAGUGUCGAACGGGUGAGUAACACGUGAGUAACCUGCCCUUAACUCUGGGAUAAGCCUGGGAAACUGGGUCUAAUACCGGAUAGGAGCGCCUACCGCAUGGUGGGUGUUGGAAAGAUUUAUCGGUUUUGGAUGGACUCGCGGCCUAUCAGCUUGUUGGUGAGGUAAUGGCUCACCAAGGCGACGACGGGUAGCCGGCCUGAGAGGGUGACCGGCCACACUGGGACUGAGACACGGCCCAGACUCCUACGGGAGGCAGCAGUGGGGAAUAUUGCACAAUGGGCGCAAGCCUGAUGCAGCGACGCCGCGUGAGGGAUGACGGCCUUCGGGUUGUAAACCUCUUUCAGUAGGGAAGAAGCGAAAGUGACGGUACCUGCAGAAGAAGCACCGGCUAACUACGUG
RNAcentral lists this ribosomal RNA (466 nucleotides) under uncultured bacterium. Its description in RNAcentral is "partial 16S ribosomal RNA". It matches the Rfam family "Bacterial small subunit ribosomal RNA", at positions 28 to 507 of the family's 1533-position model. The record is from RNAcentral.